Molecule: non-coding RNA, 128 nt
Organism: Caenorhabditis elegans
Lineage: Eukaryota; Metazoa; Nematoda; Chromadorea; Rhabditida; Rhabditidae
Source: Ensembl
UGUAUUGUUGCGUCUGGGAAGCCAGAAGCUUGGCAGGCAAAUGACUGCAACAUGGACACACACACAGAGAGGAGGCGCUGCCGUACGGAGGGAGAGAGGAAAAAAUGGUUGAUGAAGGCGGCAAAAAG